Molecule: long non-coding RNA, 486 nt
Filed under: Malus domestica (apple)
Lineage: Eukaryota; Viridiplantae; Streptophyta; Magnoliopsida; Rosales; Rosaceae
Description: long non-coding RNA (MDOM_LNC008055)
Source: RNAcentral
GAAUUUCAACUUAUUUACAAAUUUGCCACAGGCUCUAUCUGCCGCUGAUCUGCACACGCGUUGAUGAUCGCGGGAAGGGAAUAACAAUGGUAAAGCAGGCCUUUUCCGUUUCCUUCUCAAGCCCUCCUUGCCUUCUCCGUGUCGCGCACCUCGCCUUCUCUCCGUCGCACUCCUUACCAGAACUCCAAUCAAUGGUGAGGUGCAUGUCGUUGUGUAACCCAUCUUCAGCUCUGUCUCUUUCACUCUUGAGGUACCUGCUGUUAGAUUCCAUGUGCUGUCGCCGAUCUACAGGUAAAGCUUCAAUUUCCAUAUUGUCAUUUCUGGAAUUUGGGUUUUUAUUUCAGUAAUUUAAUUGUGACUGUCAGUUUGUGCAUGCGAUUGAGAGAGAGAGAGAGAAAGCAAGGGAACUAGCGAUGGAGCGAGAGAAAGAGAGAGUGAGUUUGGGAUUGAGAGUGAUUCUGGAGUCGUAUAUGAACGAACACGUUC